The sequence is a transfer RNA, 72 nucleotides long. It matches the Rfam family "tRNA". From Rfam's summary of the family: Transfer RNA (tRNA) molecules are approximately 80 nucleotides in length. Their secondary structure includes four short double-helical elements and three loops (D, anti-codon, and T loops). The record is from Rfam.
GGAUCCAUAGGGUAGUGGAUAUCCUCUUGGGCUUCGAACCCAAGGACCCGGGUUCGAAUCCCGGUGGGUCCG